CAUCUAUAAUGUCUAUUAUUGAUAUUUUUUUGAUCAUUGUCCAGUCCCUGUGAUCCUUGUCCAGUCCUUGUGGUCAUUGUCCAGUCCCUGUGAUCCUUGUCCAGUCCUUGGGAUCAUUGUCCAGUCCUUUGUAUCAUUGUCCAGUCCUUGUUAUCCUUGUCCAGUCGAUGUGAUCCUUGUCUAGUUGAGUUACUAUUGUAGUAUUUAUUUGAUCACUGUCCAGUCAAGUUGAUCCUUGUCCAGUCAAGAUGAUACCUAUCCAGCCAAGUUGAUCCCUCUCCAGUCAAGUUGAUACCUGUCCAGUCAAGUUGAUCAUUGACCAGUUUAUUUGAUCCCAGUCCAGUCAAACUGCUGUUAUAGCAUCUGUCAUCAGUAUUUAUUUGAUCCCUGUCCAGUCAAGUUGUUCCCUGUCCAGUCAAGGUGGUGUUUAUAUAGGUAAAUAAGUGUCCAGUCCAUUUGAUCUCUGUCAAGUCAUGGCUGUUAUUAUAGAGAUGCUUUAGAUGAUGCCACUUUCUUACUGAUAAAUUUAGCUGACCUCAGUUUUCAUCAAAUUAGAAAUAUGGAAGAUUGGAAUGAGAAACUCAUUGAAGCUGCUAAAAAUGGAAGAGUAGAAGAAUUGAAGCUUUGCCUAGCAAAUGGAGCAAACAUUGAUUUUAAAGU
Long non-coding RNA from Mytilus trossulus (common blue mussel), 660 nucleotides. RefSeq lists it as uncharacterized. The record is from RefSeq and is a predicted model, not a curated record. The transcript has 6 exons. NCBI's taxonomy places the organism in Eukaryota, Metazoa, Mollusca, Bivalvia, Mytilida, Mytilidae.